This 4209-nucleotide long non-coding RNA is filed under the name Salmo salar (Atlantic salmon). RNAcentral's name for it is "lncRNA (ENSSSAG00000121998.1)". Lineage: Eukaryota; Metazoa; Chordata; Actinopteri; Salmoniformes; Salmonidae. The record is from RNAcentral.
AAAGAGUUGUAAUUCUAAGUUGAUUAGUUAUUCGAAUUGGUUUAUUUUUCAUUUAACAUGUUUUUUUUAAAUCACGUGUUUGAAAGGGGAAAAUUAGCAGUUCCCUGAUGUCCUGGUCUUUGGGGUACUUAUACAGUGGUACUGUGUUCAGACUGCAUAUAGGCAGUGGCGGUUCUAGACCAUUUCAACUGGGGGGUUGAAAUGGUGUUCCGCGUUGCCACUGUCUAAUAACGAUGUAAAAAAGAAUGAUAGCAAAAAUUAUUUAUGUAAAAAUUAUUUCAUAUUUUUAUGACAGGGGGUCCAAAAUUGUUGUCACAGGGGCACUGCCCCCCCCCACACACACACACACACACACACAGAGCCGCCCCUGCAUAUAGGAAGGAAAAUAUAUGUUAAUAAGGGGUGACAGUUACUUCACAUGGAUUGUGAUAUAUGUAUUGCUGAUUUUAUGUUGUGUUUUUGUUUUGAUACAAAUUUCAACAGAUUGGGAUUGUGGUGUGGGAAUUCUGUGAGGUGUUAGGGUGCUAUCUUCAUGAUCUGGUAACUCUUCCUAGAGGUCACCAGUAGAAUAAGGGAGUAUGGACUAAUUUAUAAAAUAUUUUUUUAGCAGUAACAUUAUGUUAUGCUUUUUGACAUUUGUCUUAGAGAUGUUAUUAAGAAAAGGUUAAUGUCAUAAUUUGUCAUAUAGUCAAUGUUUGUCUGGUUUCCUGAAACAGAAAUGUAAUGAACUUAACUGUUGUUAUGAUCUGUGUUUGUUUUUUUGGUUAUCAUGGAAGGUUACGUCAGAUCGUGUCUUAAUGCAUGGUAGAAGUAAUUUGACCAUAGACAGUGUGUGUAAACCUCAAAACCCUCCCUAACCGGCUGAAGAAAGAGCGACGGAGGCGUGCAAGGAGAGACAGUGACUUACCACUCCUAUCUGAGUCCGAGCCAUAAAACAGGGCCGGGGUGGUGAGAGCGUGUGUGGAGUGAGCGUGGAGAGAGAGAACAAGCUCAGUAACUGCUUGUGAGCCAGCCAACCAGGUGAACAUGGUCACCAUGGAGGAGGCAGUUGAAGAGGGGCCCAUGGUCACCAUGGAGGAGGGAACUGAUCCUAAUAAGGGCAGGUAAGUCAGAAAGUUGAGUCUUAAGAAUAAAUAACACAGGGGACUCAAUCAGCCACGUGCUACAGCAAUAAGCAUUAAUUCACAUAGACAGCGUAGCGUAUAUGCCAGCGUUAAUGUCAGGGAAAGCCAUUAUAAAGGGUUGUAUUGUCAUUCCUCAAGUUUUCCAGCCGUAGUCCAGGCUACAUGUCCAUGAUCUAAAUAAACUGGAGUAGCUGGUGCAGCUCAAAAAACUUUACUUAGCUAAGUAUAGAAAAUCAUAACAAUUCCUCGAAUACCCUUUCUACAAACAACCCACUCAAUCUCUACACCAGAUUUGAUUCAUUUCAACCACUUUGAACUGUACAAUCAAAUCGUCUGUAAGCAACAACGGUAAUAAGGUCAAGAAAACAACACUGACAAUGUGAUAUAUCAUUCCAAAACACAACCCAGUUUAUAAAUGUAGAAUAACGUUGCAUUCAUACAUUGCUACAUUGUUUUUCAUAAGUACUAGUCUAUACUGAAAGGCUCAACGCAGGAGUUGAGAAGCAGGUACAGGGAGUGAAGGUUUAAUAACUGACGACACAAAACAACAGGAACAGCGUCUGGAUUGGAACACAUAAAAACAAUUAAUCUGGACACAGGGAACACCGUCGAGGAACGAAGGAGUCCAGGUGAGUCCAAUGCGUGCUGCUGCGUGUCAUGAUAUGACAGGUGCGUGUAAAGACGGGUAGCCUGGCACCCUUGAGCGGCAGGGAGGGGGAGCAGGCAUGACAUAUACAUGAUAUUGGCUUGCAGUUUAACAUAUUUACGCUAAAUACACACUUUAAGUGAACUUCACAAGCACGUUGACAUGUGUCUUUAGUCUUGAAAAUAUACUAAUUUGGCGUUCUAUAUAUGGUGCAUUCGAAAAGUAUUCAGACCCCUUGACCUUUCCCAUGUAUUGUUACGUUUCAGCCUUAUUCUAAAGUUGAUUAAAUUGUUUUUGUUCCCCAUCACACACUCAUCUACACACAAUACCCCAUAAUGACAAAGCAAAUACAGGUGUUUAGACAUUUUUGCAAGUUUAUUACAAAUAAAAAACGGAAAUAUCACAUUUACAUAAGUAUUCAGACCCUUUAUUCAGUACUUUGUUGAAGCACCAUUGGCAGUGAUUACAGCCUCGAAUCUUCGGUAUGACGCUACAAGCAUGGCACACCUGUAUUUGGGAAGUUUCUCCCAUUCUUCUCUGCAGAUCCUUUCAAGAUCUGUCAGGUUGGAGGGGGAGCAUCGCUACAUAGCUAUUUUCAGGUCUCUCCAGAGAUAUUCGAUUGGGUUCAAGUCCGGGCUCUGGCUGGGCCACGCGAGGACAUUCAGAAACUUGUCCCGAAGCCAAUCCUGCGUCGUCUUGGCUGUGUGCUUAGGGUCUGUGUCCUGUUGGAAGGUGAACCUUCGCCCCAGUCUGAGGUCCUGAGUGCCCUGGAGCAGGUUUUCAUCAAGGAUGUCUCUGUACUUUGCUCCGUUCAUCUUUACCUCGAUCCUGCCAAGUCUCACAGUCCCAGCCACUGAAACUUUCCCAUAGCAUGACUCUGCCACCACCAGGCUUCACCGUAGGGAUGGUGCCAGGUUUCCUUCAGAUAUGACGCUUGGCAUUCAGGCCAAAGAGUUCAAUCUUAGUUUCAUCAGACCAGAGAAUCUUGUUUCUCAUGGUCAGAGUCCUUUAGGUGCCUUUUGGCAAACUCCAAGCGGGCUGUCAUGUGCCUUUUACUGAGGAGUGGCUUUUGUCUGGCCACUCUACCAUAAAGGCCUGAUUGGUGGAGGGCUGCAGAGAUGGUUGUCUUUCUAGAAGGUUCUCCCAUCUCCACAGAGGAACUCUGGAGGUCUGUCAGAGUGACCAUCUGGUUCUUGGUCACCUCCCUGACCAAGGUGCUUCUCCCCCGAUUGCUCAGUUUGGCCGGGCGGCCAGCUCUAGGAAGAGUCUUGGUGGUUCUAAACUUCUUCCAUUUAAGAAUGAUGGAGGCCAAUGUGUUCUUGGGGACCUUCAGUGCUGCAGAAAUGUUUUGGUACCCUUCCCCAGAUCUGUGCCUCAACACAAUCCUGUCUCUGAGCUCUACGGACAAUUCUUUCGACUUCAUGGCUUGGUUUUUGCUCUGACAUGCACUGUCAACUGUGGGACCUUUAUAUAGACAGGUGUGUGCCUUUACAAAUCAUGUCCAAUUAAGGUUUACUCCAUUCAAGUUGUAGAAACUUCUUAAGGAUGAUCAAUGGAAACAGCAUACACCUGAGCUCAAUUUUGAGUCUCAUAGCAAAGGGUGUGAAUACUUCAGUAAAUAAGGUAUUUCUGUUUUGUAUUUUUUAUAAAUUUGCCAAAAAUCUAAAAACCUGCUUUCGCUUUGUCAUUAUGGGAUAUUGUGUGUAGAUUGAUGAGGAAAGAAAUGUAUUAAUACAUUUUAGAAUAAGGCUGUAACGUAAUAAAAUGUGGAAAAAGUCAAAGGGUCUGAAUACUUUCCGAAUGCUCUGUAUACUUCUGAUGCCGUUGACGCUCACAGCCUGUCUGUUUUUCUCUCAUUUAAUCACAUGUAUUCUGUUUCCAGCAUAAGCAUGCUCAUUCCCGCACUAUAAAAAAGGCUCCCUGUGUGAUUUGGGCUUUACCCAUAGUGAAUCAGCUAAUCCCAGUUCACUCCCUAACUCUUUCCCUUGGCCCUAACACUUCGAUGUUUGUAUACGUGUAAGGUGUAAGCAAUAUGGUGUAAGCUCUACCACUUUCCUGAUUAUACCUAUCCAGACCCUUAAGAAAAAUAUAAAGGUUAGGUCAGGGCCAAGGAGGAGGGGUAGGGAGUGAAUUUGGACCAGCAAAUAAUGUGUAUGUGCCACCUAAGAGUUUCAAUACCAAUCAUGUCUGUGUGUGUUCAUUGAGGUUGAAGUUCACAGUGGAAAAGAUGCAGGGGUCCAUCGUGACCAUGGUGGAGAAUACUGGCACUGCAGAGUGCCAGAAAAGACCGAACCGAAGAAGUGCAAAGUGGCAGAAAAUGGCGGAGCACCUGGGUCCACCUACUCACUAUCACCUAAAACCCCCUCCUGUCGCUACACUGUGAAGGAUCUCUCCCAGUUGUGAAGGAGCCCCUCCCACCCUUAUCUCCAUAUAAUAAAU